GACGAACGCUGGCGGCGUGCUUAACACAUGCAAGUCGAACGGAAAGGCCCUGCUCUUGUUGGGUGCUCGAUUGCCGAACGGGUGAGUAACACGCGAGUAACCUGCCCUUGACUGUGGGAUAACUUCAGGAAACUGGGGCUAAUACCGGAUAGGAGCUCCUGCUGCAUGUGGGUGGUUGGAAAGUUUCGGCGGUUGGGGAUGUUCUGGCGGCUUAUCAGCUUGUUGGUGUGGUAGUGGUUUACCAGGGCUUUGACGGGUAGCCUGCCUGGGAGGUUGACCGGCCACCAUGGGCCUGCGGUAGGGACCAGAAUCCUAUGGGCCGCAGUAGGGGGGAAUAUUGCGCAAUGGCCGGACGCCUGAUACAGAGACGCUGCGUGCGGAAUGACGUGUUUUGGGUUGUAAACCGCUUUCUACUGUGACGAAGAGUGAGUGACGGUACUGGGUAAAGAAGCCCCGGCUAACUACGUG
Molecule: ribosomal RNA, 468 nt
Filed under: uncultured bacterium
Lineage: Bacteria
Description: partial 16S ribosomal RNA
Rfam family: Bacterial small subunit ribosomal RNA
Source: RNAcentral